Molecule: ribosomal RNA, 192 nt
Filed under: uncultured Saprospirales bacterium
Lineage: Bacteria; Pseudomonadati; Bacteroidota; Saprospiria; Saprospirales
Description: partial 16S ribosomal RNA
Rfam family: Bacterial small subunit ribosomal RNA
Source: RNAcentral
ACUCCUACGGGAGGCAGCAGUAAGGAAUAUUGGACAAUGGGCGAAAGCCUGAUCCAGCCAUCCCGCGUGCAGGAUGACGGCCCUAUGGGUUGUAAACUGCUUUUAUGAGAGAAGAAACGCCUUAAUUUAUUUAGGGUCUGACGGUAUCUCACGAAUAAGCACCGGCUAACUCCGUGCCAGCAGCCGCGGUAA